UUUCUCUCUACCCUCAUUUCAUUUCACGACUUCCAAGCCGUCUUCUUCCCAUCAAUCACAGAUAAGCUGAAAUGAGUCGUAUAAUUCGAGCACAGUGUAGGGAAGCAGGAUGUGUAUUCAAGUCCCACACCUAUCACCGCAAGGAUCCUUCCCAAUUUCAUUCUCCGAUAUAGGCGAGCGCGCGACAUGUUUUUUUCGAUGAUGCCGUCGCGAUCAGCCUUCCAAGUUUCCGUGUCCGCCCCAUAUUCCAUUCCCGUAAAGUGUCGUGUGGGUCGACACGGGUGCUUCAGCUAGAAUGGAGAGUUCGUGCAUCAUAGAUCCUAUACAGGUUUGGACCAUUGUACUAUAUCACCCCAAGUCUUUAUGUUUACUAUUUCUAUCUUUUUCAAUUUUCAUUUGUGGGGGAUUGUUGGAAAAAAAUGAAUUAAAGAGCUGAUUCAGGCAUAAAUUUUAAGUGGAACCCGUUUGAUUACUUUGGAAGAUCAAGAUUGAUUUGUGUUCUCAUCCGUAAGAACCUCGAAAUCAUAUAAUUACUUGCGAAAAAUGAUACUCGAGUGAAUAAAAAAUUAGAGUUCAAAUUGAUGUAUUGAAAGAUGUUUUGUAUUGGAAGGGAAACUAUUUCAAAGUUAUCCCACAUAUGAAAAUGGAUAAUGGCAAUGACCACUUUAAAUAUGAUUACACUUUGAAAUGAUAUAAUCAUAUAUAGCAUAAAAUCUCUCUCUAUGUGCGUGUGCAGGGGUGCAAAUUAUGGAUCGAAAUAGGCUUCAAACAUUGAAAUUAUGUGCUACGCGACCUGCGUACACGAAUGUCGGACUGAAAUAAAAAUUGGCCCUUAGGAGGGUUUAUGUUUUGUCUUUUUUUUUUUUUACUAUUAUUUUUCUAAAUAAAAACUUUCCAAAUUCUCUCGACUCCUGAAACUCGUGUUAAUGGAGAGCUUAACAGCCUAGUUAAUGGUGGUUAAUAGCAUAACUCCUGGCAUGUUAAUUUUCCUUUACAGCCUAUUUAUUCAGUCAUUUUUCCUCCCUUGCAGACAUACGAAAAUCUCUCUUCUCUGUAUAAAAUUGCCUUCUGUCAAAUUUUUAGUUUUGGUCAAGGUCUUAGUCGUCGAGGUAGUAUCUUUUGCGCUCAGACUCUACUAAUUUUUCGUUGUAUCCUGAGAAACAGACAUUCAAAUUAAAUCUCAAGCACCAAUGGUGAGGGACAAACCUGUUUUAAGGAAAUUGUGUUUACAUAGGUCUCGAGUUGCAGAUUUAUAGUAUUCUCGGUGCAUAAUAUAUUUCCACGGUUCUCAUUCUUUUUUUGUUUACAUUCUUGCUAUAAUAAAUCAAAUUUAUAUUAUUCUAUAUUAUUUUAAAAAUUAGUAGAAUAUCAGAGGCUCCUAAUGUCUUCCCUCAAAAUGUGAUGAGACUGUGAUAUCAAAAUUUACAUAAACAAGCAGUUGUUAUCUCUAGAAUAAGUUGUCAACAAUCUGGCUACGGUCAUAAUUCCUAGUUGUCAAUAACAAUGCAAAUGCAUCAACCUCGGUGGAAUAAUGCUGCUUGGCCAGGGUGAUUGAUAGAGGAUUGGGUGACAGGGUGGGGGUGAUUGUCUGAUCAUUUGUUGACACGUGUCUCCCUAUUUUCAAAUCUAACAUUAAGCCUGUCACUGUAGCAAAGUUGUUUCCAAUGAGGCAUGUUGCACAUUAAUAUAUUAAAGUAUGCUUUUCAAAUGAUCUAAAUCGUAUUAAUUUUUAUUUUUUUUCAUAUAGUUCUUUUUUCUUUUAAAAAGGAAAUUAUUUCUCUUUCAAUAUCCUCAUCCUUCUCAACUCAAUCACCUUUGGAAUGAUGACUUAUACUGUAGUUUUUCUUGAACUCGCUACCUGUGAAUAAAUCUCGAAUUUUGUAUUUCCUCCGUAACCAUUUGGUUUAAUUUUCUGCCUCGAAGACAUCAUUUCCUUGAGCAUAACCUCCUUAAAAUCAUUCUUCAAAAUUUUCCAUCAAUACACUAUUAAAAAAUACGUUCUUUGACAAGAAUGGGGCUCAAACAAGGCUUAAUCUCUCUCUUUAAGUGUCCUCCAAAUUCUUUAUUCCCCCAAUUGAACUAAUUGCCCCAAUCUUGCCAAAAUGUUUGCUUUUUAUAAUACAUAAGUCUCUCAUCAUUUCCUUGUUGGAGUCUAGUCGUGAAAAGCUAGAACCAUCUAUGGUCUUGCUUUCGCUCCACCAUUUACUAAUCACAUAUUUUCAAAUAUGGAGUUGGAUCCCAUUGCAUGGAAGAAGAAUUUAUCAUAAUCCGAAAAUAUCGGACACAACCUCGAGACUGAUCUCCAAGUGAUCACUUUCUGGAGUGAUUGAUAAUUAGUGCCCAAGUUUUCACUCCCUAACCAGUUUUGAGCCUCAUAGUUAUGCUCUCUCUAGCUUUAGAAGUUAGUUUGAGAUAAAUUUCUUUGGUUUUUUCUGGUUAAAUUAAUUGGUAAUCUGUACCUGUUAUGUAGUGUAUUAUGUCUCAAUAUUGGUGGUAUUACUGUAACGUGGCAUACUUUGUUUCAGUAUGCUAGUUGACCUCUUUAGAACGGUUAGUAAUAUAGAUGUUGUAUAUGAAGCUGCCGAUGAUUUUUGUUGGACCCAACUGUAAUCUGUCUAAAGAAUUGAAGUAAAUUGAUCUCAAGGUGACACCUUUGUGAAAAAUUAGUGGUUUUCUGCGCUAAUACUUGGACAAUUACAUGCAGAUCACACGUCCACAGGAAGCAACUUUCAUGGUCAACAAUUGAGGACCGGUGAAUUAAUUCUGGUUAGAAAUACUUAAGCCACUUUUCGUUUUUAAUGUGGAUUUGACUAUUGAGCCUGCUAAAUUCAAGAUUCAACCGAAAGAUGUAACAUGUUUUGGAAAGAUUUGAAAGAGAUUGUAAAGUUUUUAAGCGUUGUGCGUUCUAGACUGAUGGA
This 2918-nucleotide long non-coding RNA is filed under the name Olea europaea subsp. europaea. Lineage: Eukaryota; Viridiplantae; Streptophyta; Magnoliopsida; Lamiales; Oleaceae. The record is from RNAcentral.